UAGCUCAGUUGGAUAGAGCAUUGGCCUUCUAAGCCAAGGGUCGGGGGUUCGAAUCCCUC
Molecule: transfer RNA, 59 nt
Filed under: Sutterellaceae bacterium
Lineage: Bacteria; Pseudomonadati; Pseudomonadota; Betaproteobacteria; Burkholderiales; Sutterellaceae
Description: tRNA-Arg
Rfam family: tRNA
About the family: Transfer RNA (tRNA) molecules are approximately 80 nucleotides in length. Their secondary structure includes four short double-helical elements and three loops (D, anti-codon, and T loops).
Source: RNAcentral